UCCUGGCUCAGAGUGAACGCUGGCGGUAGGCCUAACACAUGCAAGUCGAACGGCAGCACAGUAAGAGCUUGCUCUUAUGGGUGGCGAGUGGCGGACGGGUGAGGAAUACAUCGGAAUCUACCUUUUCGUGGGGGAUAACGUAGGGAAACUUACGCUAAUACCGCAUACGACCUUCGGGUGAAAGCAGGGGACCUUCGGGCCUUGCGCGGAUAGAUGAGCCGAUGUCGGAUUAGCUAGUUGGCGGGGUAAAGGCCCACCAAGGCGACGAUCCGUAGCUGGUCUGAGAGGAUGAUCAGCCACACUGGAACUGAGACACGGUCCAGACUCCUACGGGAGGCAGCAGUGGGGAAUAUUGGACAAUGGGCGCAAGCCUGAUCCAGCCAUACCGCGUGGGUGAAGAAGGCCUUCGGGUUGUAAAGCCCUUUUGUUGGGAAAGAAAAGCAAUCGAUUAAUACUCGGUUGUUCUGACGGUACCCAAAGAAUAAGCACCGGCUAA
This 496-nucleotide ribosomal RNA is filed under the name bacterium M-A21a. RNAcentral's name for it is "SSU rRNA". It matches the Rfam family "Bacterial small subunit ribosomal RNA", at positions 17 to 500 of the family's 1533-position model. The record is from RNAcentral.